GUAUUAUCAACAAGCUUCUUAAGCUCAAAUUAAGCAGUUAUACUUGAGAAAAAAUCAACGAAACUAAUGCUUUGAAUAGACUAUGGCAUGGCAUGGCGGCGCAACCAUAGCUCAUACAUAACCAUGUGAAACGCAUCAUAUUCCAUUGGAGAUGAAUUCCACUCAAAGAGCCUUUGUACCUUGACUGUGUUCUUCUGCAAUUCCAGGUAUUUUUCAUCAGAUAUGGCUUUAAGAAUUUCCUUCAGAUUAUAGACGUCCUCCUUCUUGACUAUUAUAGAGAAUUUCCUCCAGUUGAUAAUGUCAAUAAGUGGAAAGUCAUAGUACUCGGGCAUGAUGACAGGAACACAACCAGAGUUGAUAGACUCUGCUACACAAGCACUAUUCAUACCAGAACCUUGAUUACAGAUGCAAAACUUGGCUUUGUAGAAUUUCUUAACAUAUAAGAGUGUGGCUCUAGGCCCAUCUAGCUGGGUGCUCCAAAUCUCAAAUUCAGGAUCAUUCUUCCAAGCCUCUACGAAAGCAUGUCCUACUUUUGUGUCAGGCGAACCAACAUAUAAACCGAGUUUAGUCCUAUUCUUUGUGCCAAAUUCACCAGCUGGAAGAGCAAAUGGCUGCACUACCUGUGGGAGGGCAACAUCUUUGUGUGGAAUAUAUCUACUCCUAUAAUUUGAAGAACACAUAACUCGAAUUGAGUUUUUCUCAAGUUGAGGAAUUUGAGAAGAAGCAUUCAGUCCAAUGUCAUGACAAGCAACAAGAAAGUGAUCAGCACCAAGAGUUCUAUUCCAAUAAGGGUACUCAGAAAUUAGGUUCUUGAUAUACUUCUUGAUAGUCCUGUCCAUGUCCUGAUGUGAAAAUCCCUUUUGUGCCAUUAUUUGACAAGAAAUGGGAAUGAAGAACAGAUGAGCCUUCUCAGGAUCAUCAGUCCAAAAAAUGCUCUUUCUUAGAUUAUGAAAGAAGUAUCCCUCGCUUGGGUAUUUGCCCCUGAUCAAAUCCUUAAGUCCACCAAAAUACAUGCUCGAUACUUCAUCUGGGUACACGAAGACCUUGAAAUCCCUCUUCAUCGUAGCAUAAUUUGGGAAAAAGACAUUGGGUGAGUGAAGGACUUCAGAGAAUGGGAAACGAUUUUCAGUUGAAUUGCCCUCCAUAAACAGAGAAGAAACAAAGAAAAGAUUCUUGGCCAUUAUGAUAAAAAAGGAAAAGUAAAUCAGUAGAACUAUUGUCGCGAAAUAAUAGCAGGGAUUAUUUGUCGGUGGACAUUGACGUGGAUUAGAACGUCGGUGGUCC
RNAcentral lists this unclassified non-coding RNA (1284 nucleotides) under Hevea brasiliensis (rubber tree). Lineage: Eukaryota; Viridiplantae; Streptophyta; Magnoliopsida; Malpighiales; Euphorbiaceae. The record is from RNAcentral.